CGGCGGACGGGUGAGUAACGCGUGGGUAACCUGCCUCAUACAGGGGGAGUAACAGUUGGAAACGGCUGCUAAUACCGCAUAAGCGCACAGUACCGCAUGGUACCGUGUGAAAAACUCCGGUGGUAUGAGAUGGACCCGCGUCUGAUUAGCUAGUUGGUGGGGUAACGGCCUACCAAGGCGACGAUCAGUAGCCGACCUGAGAGGGUGACCGGCCACAUUGGGACUGAGACACGGCCCAAACUCCUACGGGAGGCAGCAUGC
This 261-nucleotide ribosomal RNA is filed under the name uncultured bacterium. RNAcentral describes it as "partial 16S ribosomal RNA". It matches the Rfam family "Bacterial small subunit ribosomal RNA", at positions 96 to 353 of the family's 1533-position model. The record is from RNAcentral.